GAUGAACGCUGGCGGCGUGCCUAAUACAUGCAAGUCGAGCGAACGGACGAGAAGCUUGCUUUUCUGAUGUUAGCGGCGGACGGGUGAGUAACACGUGGAUAACCUACCUAUAAGACUGGGAUAACUUCGGGAAACCGGAGCUAAUACCGGAUAAUAUUUUGAACCGCAUGGUUCAAAAGUGAAAGACGGUCUUGCUGUCACUUAUAGAUGGAUCCGCGCUGCAUUAGCUAGUUGGUAAGGUAACGGCUUACCAAGGCAACGAUGCAUAGCCGACCUGAGAGGGUGAUCGGCCACACUGGAACUGAGACACGGUCCAGACUCCUACAGGAGGCAGCAGUAGGGAAUCUUCCGCAAUGGGCGAAAGCCUGACGGAGCAACGCCGCGUGAGUGAUGAAGGUCUUCGGAUCGUAAAACUCUGUUAUUAGGGAAGAACAUAUGUGUAAGUAACUGUGCACAUCUUGACGUUACCUAAUCAGAAAGCCACGGCUAACUCCGUG
RNAcentral lists this ribosomal RNA (497 nucleotides) under uncultured bacterium. RNAcentral describes it as "partial 16S ribosomal RNA". It matches the Rfam family "Bacterial small subunit ribosomal RNA", at positions 28 to 507 of the family's 1533-position model. The record is from RNAcentral.